Hippocampus zosterae (dwarf seahorse) is the source of this 1039-nucleotide long non-coding RNA. RefSeq lists it as uncharacterized. The record is from RefSeq and is a predicted model, not a curated record. NCBI's taxonomy places the organism in Eukaryota, Metazoa, Chordata, Actinopteri, Syngnathiformes, Syngnathidae. The transcript is spliced from 2 exons.
UGACGAGUGAACGUUGAACGUUGAUGUGUUCUCGCAACACCCACAUGGUGAGAUAUUUUUGAAUGCCAGUUAUUGUGCAGACUGGAGCUGGACAAUUGAAAAAAAAAAGAUUAUUUUUUUCCUCUCCUCAAUUUUGCGACUUCAUACAUGACUAUUUUUUCCUUCCUAUAUAUUAAUUAACAAACACAAACAAACUCAUUUGGAUGACAAUAAACAAUAUCAGAUUUAUGGUUCCAUAAGUUAGGCUUAUAAGCUAAAAUAAAUGCAAAUGAACCAGGAAUUAUUUUCAAAGCCAGUUGCUUUAUCGACUUCAGUUAGAAUGCUCCAAUUGGUUUAGAUUGACACUCGUGUGGUCCCCAUGAAAUGGUGAGAAAGAAAAUACAUCGUAGGCUCCGACUUGGGCUUUCAUAAACUUGUAUUUACUCCCAAGAAAAUACUUAAAGCAGCAUUAACUCUCAUAAUUGUGUAAAAAGUGGUUAACUGCUGUCAAUGGUGUUUGAUGGCGAGUGUGUUCUCAUGAAGAAUAAUGCCGUUUUUUCUUAUAUACAACAGAUUCCGUUCUAUUAUUUUAUUGUUAAAUUUGCCAUAUUGUUUCGAGUAGCUAAAGAUGGAUGUACUGCUUUUCCGUCCACAUUUUUAUUUCCCACUGUGACAGCUCCCCCCUCCCAAACAAUAAUACACAAAAGCAUAAAUAGAACACACGUGGAUGAGAUGCUACUACGUCGUAACACGCCGUCACGCAUGACCGCGGAUGGAUUUUGGUGUGACUUUGGAAGCAGAUUUUUUUUCCUAAAAAUGAUGGUCGAGUUUUGAAAUGUCUAAGCGAUUUGGGGGUUUUCCCUGGACUACAAAUGUAUCACAUUUCAAUCUAUGGGCUUUGACAAAAAGCACUGUAGAUACAAAGCUUUGUUGUAAAUGUCAAAACAUACUCUGUAUAUUUUCAACGUGCUGCAUGUAUGACGAUGAAUGGCAACAAAUUUAGUUUCAGUUGAUGGUUCAAUGGCUGUGAUUCUGUACAUACAAGCAAUGUGAAAUCGUA